Molecule: small RNA, 571 nt
Filed under: Pongo abelii (Sumatran orangutan)
Lineage: Eukaryota; Metazoa; Chordata; Mammalia; Primates; Hominidae
Description: processed transcript
Source: RNAcentral
UGAAAAUCUACCCAUUUCUCUCUCUCUCUCUCUUUUCUUUUAAAUAAAUUAUCUGAUAAGGCCGGGCACGGUGGCUCACGCCUGUAAUCCCAGCACUUUGGGAGGCCAAGACGGGCGGAUCACGAGGUCAGGAGAUCGAGACCGCGGUGAAACCCCGUCUUUACUAAAAAUACAAAAAAAAAAAUUAGCCAGGCACAGUGGCAGGCGCCUGUAGUCCCAGCUACUUGGGAGGCUGAGGCUAGAGUGCAGUGGCGUGAUCAUAGUUCAUCAUAACUUUGAAUCCGUGGGCUUAGGCAAUCCUCCCAUGUUAGCUUCCCAAGUAGCUAGGACUACAGGGUUGUGCUACCACGCCUGGCUAAUUUUUAGUUUUUUUUGUAUGUACAGGGCCUGGCUAUGUUGCCCAGGCUGUCUCAAACUCCUGGGCUCAAGUGAUCCUCCUGCCUUGGCCUCCUAAAGUGCUGGGAUUACAGGUGUGAGCCACUGUGCCUAGCUAGAACGUUGUUAAUGUAGUUCAAUAUGAGAUAAAUUAUUAUCUUCAAUGAAACAAGCUCUGAAAGCAUUCUCAUUCCUA